GCGUCAGUCUCAUAAUCUGAAGAUCGCGUGUUCGA
Molecule: transfer RNA, 35 nt
Filed under: Ogataea angusta
Lineage: Eukaryota; Fungi; Ascomycota; Pichiomycetes; Pichiales; Pichiaceae
Description: partial transfer RNA
Source: RNAcentral